Drosophila suzukii is the source of this 303-nucleotide non-coding RNA. The record is from RefSeq and is a predicted model, not a curated record. Lineage: Eukaryota; Metazoa; Arthropoda; Insecta; Diptera; Drosophilidae.
UUCUUUAUAUUUUUAGACAUCUUAAGCAUAUUAUCCGAGGAACUUGUUCUGUCCCACAACUUGGAAAGGGGGCAAAACAAGAAGAGGCUCAGACUACCCAAAUUUCGCCCGUGCCUUAUUAAAUGCAAUCGCCCUGGUGGAUCCCUCGGAGCCUCCCGAAAAGGCGCUGCGGUGCGUUAAAAACUUGAGUUGUACCAAAAAAAAGGCAACGCCGGCACCAGAUGCUGAGAAGGGGGUGCCAGCGACCCCGAUAACACCGGAAACCCCCGAGCGCAAAUUUUAAAAUAAACAAAUAAAAAUAAA